This 1343-nucleotide ribosomal RNA is filed under the name uncultured bacterium. RNAcentral's name for it is "16S ribosomal RNA". It matches the Rfam family "Bacterial small subunit ribosomal RNA", at positions 28 to 1378 of the family's 1533-position model. The record is from RNAcentral.
GACGAACGCUGGCGGCGUGCUUAACACAUGCAAGUCGAACGGAAAGGCCCUGCUUUUGUGGGGUGCUCGAGUGGCGAACGGGUGAGUAACACGUGAGUAACCUGCCCUUGACUUUGGGAUAACUUCAGGAAACUGGGGCUAAUACCGGAUAGGAGCUCCUGCUGCAUGGUGGGGGUUGGAAAGUUUCGGCGGUUGGGGAUGGACUCGCGGCUUAUCAGCUUGUUGGUGGGGUAGUGGCUUACCAAGGCUUUGACGGGUAGCCGGCCUGAGAGGGUGACCGGCCACAUUGGGACUGAGAUACGGCCCAGACUCCUACGGGAGGCAGCAGUGGGGAAUAUUGCACAAUGGGCGGAAGCCUGAUGCAGCAACGCCGCGUGCGGGAUGACGGCCUUCGGGUUGUAAACCGCUUUCGCCUGUGACGAAGCGUGAGUGACGGUAAUGGGUAAAGAAGCACCGGCUAACUACGUGCCAGCAGCCGCGGUGAUACGUAGGGUGCGAGCGUUGUCCGGAUUUAUUGGGCGUAAAGGGCUCGUAGGUGGUUGAUCGCGUCGGAAGUGUAAUCUUGGGGCUUAACCCUGAGCGUGCUUUCGAUACGGGUAGACUUGAGGAAGGUAGGGGAGAAUGGAAUUCCUGGUGGAGCGGUGGAAUGCGCAGAUAUCAGGAGGAACACCAGUGGCGAAGGCGGUUCUCUGGGCCUUUCCUGACGCUGAGGAGCGAAAGCGUGGGGAGCGAACAGGCUUAGAUACCCUGGUAGUCCACGCUGUAAACGGUGGGUACUAGGUGUGGGGUCCAUUCCACGGGUUCCGUGCCGUAGCUAACGCUUUAAGUACCCCGCCUGGGGAGUACGGCCGCAAGGCUAAAACUCAAAGGAAUUGACGGGGCCCCGCACAAGCGGCGGAGCAUGCGGAUUAAUUCGAUGCAACGCGUAGAACCUUACCUGGGUUUGACAUGGAUCGGGAGUGCUCAGAGAUGGGUGUGCCUCUUUUGGGGUCGGUUCACAGGUGGUGCAUGGCUGUCGUCAGCUCGUGUCGUGAGAUGUUGGGUUAAGUCCCGCAACGAGCGCAACCCUUGUUCACUGUUGCCAGCACGUUAUGGUGGGGACUCAGUGGAGACCGCCGGGGUCAACUCGGAGGAAGGUGGGGAUGACGUCAAGUCAUCAUGCCCCUUAUGUCCAGGGCUUCACGCAUGCUACAAUGGCUGGUACAGAGAGUGGCGAGCCUGUGAGGGUGAGCGAAUCUCGGAAAGCCGGUCUCAGUUCGGAUUGGGGUCUGCAACUCGACCUCAUGAAGUCGGAGUCGCUAGUAAUCGCAGAUCAGCAACGCUGCGGUGAAUACGUUCCCGGG